AGACCCGAAACCCGGUGAUCUAGCCAUGGGCAGGUUGAAGGUUGGGUAACACUAACUGGAGGACCGAACCGACUAAUGUUGAAAAAUUAGCGGAUGACCUGUGGCUGGGGGUGAAAGGCCAAUCAAACCGGGAGAUAGCUGGUUCUCCCCGAAAGCUAUUUAGGUAGCGCCUCGUGAAUUCAUCUCCGGGGGUAGAGCACUGUUUCGGCUAGGGGGCCAUCCCGGCUUACCAACCCGAUGCAAACUGCGAAUACCGGAGAAUGUUAUCACGGGAGACACACGGCGGGUGCUAACGUCCGUCGUGAAGAGGGAAACAACCCAGACCGCCAGCUAAGGUCCCAAAGUCAUGGUUAAGUGGGAAACGAUGUGGGAAGGCCCAGACAGCCAGGAUGUUGGCUUAGAAGCAGCCAUCAUUUAAAGAAAGCGUAAUAGCUCACUGGUCGAGUCGGCCUGCGCGGAAGAUGUAACGGGGCUAAACCAUGCACCGAAGCUGCGGCAGCGACACUGUGUGUUGUUGGGUAGGGGAGCGUUCUGUAAGCCUGUGAAGGUGUGUCGUGAGGCAUGCUGGAGGUAUCAGAAGUGCGAAUGCUGACAUAAGUAACGAUAAAGCGGGUGAAAAGCCCGCUCGCCGGAAGACCAAGGGUUCCUGUCCAACGUUAAUCGGGGCAGGGUGAGUCGACCCCUAAGGCGAGGCCGAAAGGCGUAGUCGAUGGGAAACGGGUUAAUAUUCCCGUACUUGGUGUUACUGCGAAGGGGGGACGGAGAAGGCUAUGUUGGCCGGGCGACGGUUGUCCCGGUUUAAGCGUGUAGGUGUGUGUUCCAGGUAAAUCCGGUUCACUUUAACACUGAGGCGUGACGACGAGGCACUACGGUGCUGAAGCAACAAAUGCCCUGCUUCCAGGAAAAGCCUCUAAGCAUCAGGUAACAUCAAAUCGUACCCCAAACCGACACAGGUGGUCAGGUAGAGAAUACCAAGGCGCUUGAGAGAACUCGGGUGAAGGAACUAGGCAAAAUGGUGCCGUAACUUCGGGAGAAGGCACGCUGACACGUAGGUGAAGUGAUUUACUCAUGGAGCUGAAGUCAGUCGAAGAUACCAGCUGGCUGCAAC
This 1108-nucleotide ribosomal RNA is filed under the name Salmonella enterica. RNAcentral's name for it is "partial 23S ribosomal RNA". It matches the Rfam family "Bacterial large subunit ribosomal RNA", at positions 711 to 1800 of the family's 2925-position model. The record is from RNAcentral. Lineage: Bacteria; Pseudomonadati; Pseudomonadota; Gammaproteobacteria; Enterobacterales; Enterobacteriaceae.